UACAGAGGUCUCAAGCGUUGUUCGGAUUCAUUGGGCGUAAAGGGCGCGUAGGCGGCGAGGUAAGUCGGGUGUGAAAUCUCAGAGCUCAACUCUGAAACUGCACUCGAUACUGCUCUGCUUGAGGACUGGAGAGGAGACUGGAAUUCACGGUGUAGCAGUGAAAUGCGUAGAUAUCGUGAGGAAGACCAGUGGCGAAGGCGGGUCUCUGGACAGUUCCUGACGCUGAGGCGCGAAGGCCAGGGGAGCAAACGGG
This 253-nucleotide ribosomal RNA is filed under the name uncultured bacterium. Its description in RNAcentral is "partial 16S ribosomal RNA". It matches the Rfam family "Bacterial small subunit ribosomal RNA", at positions 524 to 776 of the family's 1533-position model. The record is from RNAcentral.